AAAUUGAAGAGUUUGAUCAUGGCUCAGAUUGAACGCUGGCGGCAGGCCUAACACAUGCAAGUCGAGCGGAAACGAGUUAUCUGAACCUUCGGGGAACGAUAACGGCGUCGAGCGGCGGACGGGUGAGUAAUGCCUAGGAAAUUGCCCUGAUGUGGGGGAUAACCAUUGGAAACGAUGGCUAAUACCGCAUGAUGCCUACGGGCCAAAGAGGGGGACCUUCGGGCCUCUCGCGUCAGGAUAUGCCUAGGUGGGAUUAGCUAGUUGGUGAGGUAAUGGCUCACCAAGGCGACGAUCCCUAGCUGGUCUGAGAGGAUGAUCAGCCACACUGGAACUGAGACACGGUCCAGACUCCUACGGGAGGCAGCAGUGGGGAAUAUUGCACAAUGGGCGCAAGCCUGAUGCAGCCAUGCCGCGUGUGUGAAGAAGGCCUUCGGGUUGUAAAGCACUUUCAGUCGUGAGGAAGGUAGUGUAGUUAAUAGCUGCAUUAUUUGACGUUAGCGACAGAAGAAGCACCGGCUAACUCCGUGCCAGCAGCCGCGGUAAUACGGAGGGUGCGAGCGUUAAUCGGAAUUACUGGGCGUAAAGCGCAUGCAGGUGGUUUGUUAAGUCAGAUGUGAAAGCCCGGGGCUCAACCUCGGAAUAGCAUUUGAAACUGGCAGACUAGAGUACUGUAGAGGGGGGUAGAAUUUCAGGUGUAGCGGUGAAAUGCGUAGAGAUCUGAAGGAAUACCGGUGGCGAAGGCGGCCCCCUGGACAGAUACUGACACUCAGAUGCGAAAGCGUGGGGAGCAAACAGGAUUAGAUACCCUGGUAGUCCACGCCGUAAACGAUGUCUACUUGGAGGUUGUGGCCUUGAGCCGUGGCUUUCGGAGCUAACGCGUUAAGUAGACCGCCUGGGGAGUACGGUCGCAAGAUUAAAACUCAAAUGAAUUGACGGGGGCCCGCACAAGCGGUGGAGCAUGUGGUUUAAUUCGAUGCAACGCGAAGAACCUUACCUACUCUUGACAUCCAGAGAACUUUCCAGAGAUGGAUUGGUGCCUUCGGGAACUCUGAGACAGGUGCUGCAUGGCUGUCGUCAGCUCGUGUUGUGAAAUGUUGGGUUAAGUCCCGCAACGAGCGCAACCCUUAUCCUUGUUUGCCAGCGAGUAAUGUCGGGAACUCCAGGGAGACUGCCGGUGAUAAACCGGAGGAAGGUGGGGACGACGUCAAGUCAUCAUGGCCCUUACGAGUAGGGCUACACACGUGCUACAAUGGCGCAUACAGAGGGCGGCCAACUUGCGAAAGUGAGCGAAUCCCAAAAAGUGCGUCGUAGUCCGGAUUGGAGUCUGCAACUCGACUCCAUGAAGUCGGAAUCGCUAGUAAUCGUGGAUCAGAAUGCCACGGUGAAUACGUUCCCGGGCCUUGUACACACCGCCCGUCACACCAUGGGAGUGGGCUGCAAAAGAAGUAGGUAGUUUAACCUUCGGGGGGACGCUUACCACUUUGUGGUUCAUGACUGGGGUGAAGUCGUAACAAGGUAGCGCUAGGGGAACCUGGCGCUGGAUCACCUCCUUA
Molecule: ribosomal RNA, 1553 nt
Filed under: Vibrio alginolyticus
Lineage: Bacteria; Pseudomonadati; Pseudomonadota; Gammaproteobacteria; Vibrionales; Vibrionaceae
Also listed under: 1 other name
Description: bacterial SSU rRNA
Rfam family: Bacterial small subunit ribosomal RNA
Source: RNAcentral